Long non-coding RNA from Drosophila novamexicana, 542 nucleotides. RefSeq lists it as uncharacterized. Lineage: Eukaryota; Metazoa; Arthropoda; Insecta; Diptera; Drosophilidae. The transcript has 3 exons. The record is from RefSeq and is a predicted model, not a curated record.
AGGAUGUUGGAUGGAGCCCACAAGGAGCAGUUGAGCUAUUUCAUAUUUGUUUUGAUCAUCUUGGGAGCUUGCGACUUCCAUGUCUUCAUUUAGAACGCGUUCCAAUGUUAACCGGACUCUCUGGAGGCCAUGCUCCAGGAGUGUUUCGUGGCUGAUGGCUGUAUUUAUCUGGGUGUGUUGUAGUUGCGGCUGCUGUGGUUGCGUCAGCGAUUGCAGGUUUCCUGUCCCCUGAGGUGAUGUCGUUAGCUGCUGUUGUGGCGUUACUGAUGCCUGUUGAGUCUGCAUUGGCAGAGUAUGCUGUGUUUGAUGAUUCUGCUGCCUCUCGUCCACAUAGUCUGGUAGGAUUAAUCGCUGGAUUGUUGGGGGUUGGCCUUGGAUGUUAGCCACUAGCUCUUCACGUGUAUUUGCUGGAGUUGGUGCCUGGCCUGGAUGACAGUCGUCGUUAGCUGAGUUUGUUGGAGUUGCGGCUGCUGUAGCUGCGGUUGCAACUGCGGAUUCACUGACUCCUGAGUUGGCGUAGUUAGCUGCUGUUGUUGCUGCGU